This 46-nucleotide ribosomal RNA is filed under the name uncultured fungus. RNAcentral describes it as "partial 28S ribosomal RNA". The record is from RNAcentral. Lineage: Eukaryota; Fungi.
UUGACCUCGGAUCAGGCAGGAGAUACCCGNUGAACUUAAAAAUAUC